RNAcentral lists this transfer RNA (75 nucleotides) under Neisseria flavescens. Its description in RNAcentral is "tRNA-Asp(gtc)". It matches the Rfam family "tRNA". Rfam says of the family: Transfer RNA (tRNA) molecules are approximately 80 nucleotides in length. Lineage: Bacteria; Pseudomonadati; Pseudomonadota; Betaproteobacteria; Neisseriales; Neisseriaceae. The record is from RNAcentral. RNAcentral also lists the same sequence under 2 other names.
GGUGCUGUCAUCCAGCGGUUAGGAUGCCUCCCUGUCUGGGAGGUCACGCGAGUUCGAUUCUCGCCGACAUCGCCA